GAGAAGAACGUAGCGAAAUGCGAUACUUGGUGUGAAUUGCAGAAUCCCGUGAACCAUCGAGUCUUUGAACGCAAGUUGCGCCCGAAGCCACUAGGCCGAGGGCACGCCUGCCUGGGCGUCACACGCCGUUGCCCCCCCAUCUACUCCUUCGGGAUUGCGGGGGGGCGGAUGAUGGCCUCCCGUGCGCCUAGCCGCGCGGUUGGCAUAAAUACCAAGUCCUCGGCGACGCACGCCACGACAAUCGGUGGUUGCGAAACCUCGGUUGCCCGUCGUGUGCGUUCGUCGCGCAUCGAGGGCUCGAAAAAAUGCUCGGCUCCGGCUGGGCUUUCAACGCGACCCCAGGUCAGGCGGGGUUACCCGCUGAAUUUAAGCAUAUCAAUAAGCGGAGGA
This 390-nucleotide unclassified non-coding RNA is filed under the name soil metagenome. RNAcentral's name for it is "partial contains 5.8S ribosomal RNA, internal transcribed spacer 2, and large subunit ribosomal RNA". The stretch from base 3 to 121 matches the Rfam family "5.8S ribosomal RNA", at positions 38 to 154 of the family's 154-position model. The record is from RNAcentral.